Molecule: ribosomal RNA, 265 nt
Filed under: uncultured prokaryote
Description: partial 16S ribosomal RNA
Rfam family: Bacterial small subunit ribosomal RNA
Source: RNAcentral
UACGUAGGUGGCGAGCGUUGUCCGGAUUUACUGGGAGUAAAGGGAGCGUAGGCGGACUUUUAAGUGAGAUGUGAAAUACCCGGGCUCAACUUGGGUGCUGCAUUUCAAACUGGAAGUAUAGAGUGCAGGAGAGGAGAAUGGAAUUCCUAGUGUAGCGGUGAAAUGCGUAGAGAUUAGGAAGAACACCAGAGGCGAAGGCGAUUCUCUGGACUGUAACUGACGCUGAGGCUCGAAAGCGUGGGGAGCAAACAGGAUUAGAUACCCU